UGGGGAAUAUUGGACAAUGGGCGCAAGCCUGAUCCAGCCAUGCCGCGUGAACGAUGAAGGCCUUAGGGUUGUAAAGUUCUUUUGUCAGGGAAGAUAAUGACGGUACCUGAAGAAUAAGCACCGGCUAACUUCGUGCCAGCAGCCGCGGUAAUACGAAGGGUGCUAGCGUUGUUCGGAAUCACUGGGCGUAAAGCGCGCGUAGGCGGCGAUAUAAGUCAGAGGUGAGAGCCUGGAGCUCAACUCCGGAACUGCCUUUGAUACUGGCAAUCUAGAGUCCGGAAGAGGUUAGUGGAAUUCCCAGUGUAGAGGUGAAAUUCGUAGAUAUUGGGAAGAACACCAGUGGCGAAGGCGGCUAACUGGUCCGGUACUGACGCUGAGGUGCGAAAGCGUGGGGAGCAAACAGGAUUAGAUACCCUAGUAGUCCCUGAGCGGGCUGGCAAGGCGCAU
This 447-nucleotide ribosomal RNA is filed under the name uncultured bacterium. RNAcentral describes it as "bacterial SSU rRNA". It matches the Rfam family "Bacterial small subunit ribosomal RNA", at positions 355 to 825 of the family's 1533-position model. The record is from RNAcentral.